UUGGAUUUAUAUCAAACAUGUUCAGAACAUCAGAUUUAGAACAUGUUCAGAACAUGUAGAUCGGAUACACAGAUAGAAUGUGUGCUAGCUAGAUCGAUGGCCAAUAAAGUCAAGAACUGAUAUAAAAAAUACAGCCCAACUUUAAUCGAUUCACUGGAUGGAUGGUGUUGUAGGAUUACUUGGGUGGUGCAUUUUCAAGAUUUGUUCCUGGAAUGGUGCUGUCAGUUUGACUUUUUUCGAUCACUUCUCAUUAUGUAGGGUUACAUACUUACAUGUCGGCCAGAAAUGUUUAAGAAAGCAUUUGGG
This 306-nucleotide long non-coding RNA is filed under the name Zostera marina. Its description in RNAcentral is "long non-coding RNA (ZMAR_LNC004125)". Lineage: Eukaryota; Viridiplantae; Streptophyta; Magnoliopsida; Alismatales; Zosteraceae. The record is from RNAcentral.